CCAACGGCCCUCUUUAGGGCCACAACUCGCUUUUUCGAAUACUCG
Molecule: non-coding RNA, 45 nt
Organism: Ancylostoma duodenale
Lineage: Eukaryota; Metazoa; Nematoda; Chromadorea; Rhabditida; Ancylostomatidae
Source: Rfam